UCUUCAUUCCGCGUGCUCUCUCACCGGUCAGAAUGACGAGAGAUCAUGCGGAAUGGAGAGA
RNAcentral lists this microRNA precursor (61 nucleotides) under Pristionchus pacificus. RNAcentral describes it as "mir-8364 microRNA precursor family". It matches the Rfam family "mir-8364 microRNA precursor family". Lineage: Eukaryota; Metazoa; Nematoda; Chromadorea; Rhabditida; Neodiplogasteridae. The record is from Rfam by way of RNAcentral.